RNAcentral lists this ribosomal RNA (254 nucleotides) under uncultured bacterium. Its description in RNAcentral is "partial 16S ribosomal RNA". It matches the Rfam family "Bacterial small subunit ribosomal RNA", at positions 524 to 776 of the family's 1533-position model. The record is from RNAcentral.
UACAGAGGGUGCAAGCGUUUAAUCGGAAUUACUGGGCGUAAAGCGUGCGUAGUCGGUUAUUUAAGUCGGAUGUGAAAUCCCCGGGCUCAACCUGGGAAUUGCAUUCGAUACUGGAUAGCUAGAGUUCGGCAGAGGGAAGUGGAAUUUCUGGUGUAGCGGUGAAAUGCGUAGAUAUCAGAAGGAACAUCAGUGGCGAAAGCGACUUCCUGGACCAGAACUGACGAUCAGGCACGAAAGCGUGGGGAGCAAACAGG